CCAUAGGUUAAUGAGGCGAACCGGGGGAACUGAAACAUCUAAGUACCCCGAGGAAAAGAAAUCAACCGAGAUUCCCCCAGUAGCGGCGAGCGAACGGGGAGGAGCCCAGAGCCUGAAUCAGUGUGUGUGUUAGUGGAAGCGUCUGGAAAGGCGUGCGAUACAGGGUGACAGCCCCGUACACAAAAAUGCACAUACUGUGAGCUCGAUGAGUAGGGCGGGACACGUGGUAUCCUGUCUGAAUAUGGGGGGACCAUCCUCCAAGGCUAAAUACUCCUGACUGACCGAUAGUGAACCAGUACCGUGAGGGAAAGGCGAAAAGAACCCCGGCGAGGGGAGUGAAAAAGAACCUGAAACCGUGUACGUACAAGCAGUGGGAGCCUCUUAAUGGGGUGACUGCGUACCUUUUGUAUAAUGGGUCAGCGACUUAUAUUCUGUAGCAAGGUUAACCGAAUAGGGGAGCCGAAGGGAAACCGAGUCUUAACUGGGCGUUAAGUUGCAGGGUAUAGACCCGAAACCCGGUGAUCUAGCCAUGGGCAGGUUGAAGGUUGGGUAACACUAACUGGAGGACCGAACCGACUAAUGUUGAAAAAUUAGCGGAUGACUUGUGGCUGGGGGUGAAAGGCCAAUCAAACCGGGAGAUAGCUGGUUCUCCCCGAAAGCUAUUUAGGUAGCGCCUCGUGAAUUCAUCUCCGGGGGUAGAGCACUGUUUCGGCAAGGGGGUCAUCCCGACUUACCAACCCGAUGCAAACUGCGAAUACCGGAGAAUGUUAUCACGGGAGACACACGGCGGGUGCUAACGUCCGUCGUGAAGAGGGAAACAACCCAGACCGCCAGCUAAGGUCCCAAAGUCAUGGUUAAGUGGGAAACGAUGUGGGAAGGCCCAGACAGCCAGGAUGUUGGCUUAGAAGCAGCCAUCAUUUAAAGAAAGCGUAAUAGCUCACUGGUCGAGUCGGCCUGCGCGGAAGAUGUAACGGGGCUAAACCAUGCACCGAAGCUGCGGCAGCGACACUAUGUGUUGUUGGGUAGGGGAGCGUUCUGUAAGCCUGUGAAGGUGUACUGUGAGGUAUGCUGGAGGUAUCAGAAGUGCGAAUGCUGACAUAAGUAACGAUAAAGCGGGUGAAAAGCCCGCUCGCCGGAAGACCAAGGGUUCCUGUCCAACGUUAAUCGGGGCAGGGUGAGUCGACCCCUAAGGCGAGGCCGAAAGGCGUAGUCGAUGGGAAACAGGUUAAUAUUCCUGUACUUGGUGUUACUGCGAAGGGGGGACGGAGAAGGCUAUGUUGGCCGGGCGACGGUUGUCCCGGUUUAAGCGUGUAGGCUGGUUUUCCAGGCAAAUCCGGAAAAUCAAGGCUGAGGCGUGAUGACGAGGCACUACGGUGCUGAAGCAACAAAUGCCCUGCUUCCAGGAAAAGCCUCUAAGCAUCAGGUAACAUCAAAUCGUACCCCAAACCGACACAGGUGGUCAGGUAGAGAAUACCAAGGCGCUUGAGAGAACUCGGGUGAAGGAACUAGGCAAAAUGGUGCCGUAACUUCGGGAGAAGGCACGCUGAUAUGUAGGUGAAGUCCCUCGCGGAUGGAGCUGAAAUCAGUCGAAGAUACCAGCUGGCUGCAACUGUUUAUUAAAAACACAGCACUGUGCAAACACGAAAGUGGACGUAUACGGUGUGACGCCUGCCCGGUGCCGGAAGGUUAAUUGAUGGGGUUAGCGGUAACGCGAAGCUCUUGAUCGAAGCCCCGGUAAACGGCGGCCGUAACUAUAACGGUCCUAAGGUAGCGAAAUUCCUUGUCGGGUAAGUUCCGACCUGCACGAAUGGCGUAAUGAUGGCCAGGCUGUCUCCACCCGAGACUCAGUGAAAUUGAACUCGCUGUGAAGAUGCAGUGUACCCGCGGCAAGACGGAAAGACCCCGUGAACCUUUACUAUAGCUUGACACUGAACAUUGAGCCUUGAUGUGUAGGAUAGGUGGGAGGCUUUGAAGUGUGGACGCCAGUCUGCAUGGAGCCGGCCUUGAAAUACCACCCUUUAAUGUUUGAUGUUCUAACGUUGGCCCCUGACCGGGGUUGCGGACAGUGUCUGGUGGGUAGUUUGACUGGGGCGGUCUCCUCCUAAAGAGUAACGGAGGAGCACGAAGGUUGGCUAAUCCUGGUCGGACAUCAGGAGGUUAGUGCAAUGGCAUAAGCCAGCUUGACUGCGAGCGUGACGGCGCGAGCAGGUGCGAAAGCAGGUCAUAGUGAUCCGGUGGUUCUGAAUGGAAGGGCCAUCGCUCAACGGAUAAAAGGUACUCCGGGGAUAACAGGCUGAUACCGCCCAAGAGUUCAUAUCGACGGCGGUGUUUGGCACCUCGAUGUCGGCUCAUCACAUCCUGGGGCUGAAGUAGGUCCCAAGGGUAUGGCUGUUCGCCAUUUAAAGUGGUACGCGAGCUGGGUUUAGAACGUCGUGAGACAGUUCGGUCCCUAUCUGCCGUGGGCGCUGGAGAACUGAGGGGGGCUGCUCCUAGUACGAGAGGACCGGAGUGGACGCAUCACUGGUGUUCGGGUUGUCAUGCCAAUGGCACUGCCCGGUAGCUAAAUGCGGAAGAGAUAAGUGCUGAAAGCAUCUAAGCACGAAACUUGCCCCGAGAUGAGUUCUCCCUGACUCCUUGAGAGUCCUGAAGGAACGUUGAAGACGACGACGUUGAUAGGCCGGGUGUGUAAGCGCAGCGAUGCGUUGAGCUAACCGGUACUAAUGAACCGUGAGGCUUAACCUU
RNAcentral lists this ribosomal RNA (2742 nucleotides) under Escherichia coli. RNAcentral describes it as "partial 23S ribosomal RNA". It matches the Rfam family "Bacterial large subunit ribosomal RNA". The record is from RNAcentral. Lineage: Bacteria; Pseudomonadati; Pseudomonadota; Gammaproteobacteria; Enterobacterales; Enterobacteriaceae.